GGGUUGUGAGGUUAAGCGACUAAGCGUACACGGUGGAUGCCCUGGCAGUCAGAGGCGAUGAAGGACGUGCUAAUCUGCGAUAAGCGUCGGUAAGGUGAUAUGAACCGUUAUAACCGGCGAUUUCCGAAUGGGGAAACCCAGUGUGUUUCGACACACUAUCAUUAACUGAAUCCAUAGGUUAAUGAGGCGAACCGGGGGAACUGAAACAUCUAAGUACCCCGAGGAAAAGAAAUCAACCGAGAUUCCCCCAGUAGCGGCGAGCGAACGGGGAGCAGCCCAGAGCCUGAAUCAGUGUGUGUGUUAGUGGAAGCGUCUGGAAAGGCGCGCGAUACAGGGUGACAGCCCCGUACACAAAAAUGCACAUGCUGUGAGCUCGAUGAGUAGGGCGGGACACGUGGUAUCCUGUCUGAAUAUGGGGGGACCAUCCUCCAAGGCUAAAUACUCCUGACUGACCGAUAGUGAACCAGUACCGUGAGGGAAAGGCGAAAAGAACCCCGGCGAGGGGAGUGAAAAAGAACCUGAAACCGUGUACGUACAAGCAGUGGGAGCACGCUUAGGCGUGUGACUGCGUACCUUUUGUAUAAUGGGUCAGCGACUUAUAUUCUGUAGCAAGGUUAACCGAAUAGGGGAGCCGAAGGGAAACCGAGUCUUAACUGGGCGUUAAGUUGCAGGGUAUAGACCCGAAACCCGGUGAUCUAGCCAUGGGCAGGUUGAAGGUUGGGUAACACUAACUGGAGGACCGAACCGACUAAUGUUGAAAAAUUAGCGGAUGACUUGUGGCUGGGGGUGAAAGGCCAAUCAAACCGGGAGAUAGCUGGUUCUCCCCGAAAGCUAUUUAGGUAGCGCCUCGUGAAUUCAUCUCCGGGGGUAGAGCACUGUUUCGGCAAGGGGGUCAUCCCGACUUACCAACCCGAUGCAAACUGCGAAUACCGGAGAAUGUUAUCACGGGAGACACACGGCGGGUGCUAACGUCCGUCGUGAAGAGGGAAACAACCCAGACCGCCAGCUAAGGUCCCAAAGUCAUGGUUAAGUGGGAAACGAUGUGGGAAGGCCCAGACAGCCAGGAUGUUGGCUUAGAAGCAGCCAUCAUUUAAAGAAAGCGUAAUAGCUCACUGGUCGAGUCGGCCUGCGCGGAAGAUGUAACGGGGCUAAACCAUGCACCGAAGCUGCGGCAGCGACGCUUAUGCGUUGUUGGGUAGGGGAGCGUUCUGUAAGCCUGCGAAGGUGUGCUGUGAGGCAUGCUGGAGGUAUCAGAAGUGCGAAUGCUGACAUAAGUAACGAUAAAGCGGGUGAAAAGCCCGCUCGCCGGAAGACCAAGGGUUCCUGUCCAACGUUAAUCGGGGCAGGGUGAGUCGACCCCUAAGGCGAGGCCGAAAGGCGUAGUCGAUGGGAAACAGGUUAAUAUUCCUGUACUUGGUGUUACUGCGAAGGGGGGACGGAGAAGGCUAUGUUGGCCGGGCGACGGUUGUCCCGGUUUAAGCGUGUAGGCUGGUUUUCCAGGCAAAUCCGGAAAAUCAAGGCUGAGGCGUGAUGACGAGGCACUACGGUGCUGAAGCAACAAAUGCCCUGCUUCCAGGAAAAGCCUCUAAGCAUCAGGUAACAUCAAAUCGUACCCCAAACCGACACAGGUGGUCAGGUAGAGAAUACCAAGGCGCUUGAGAGAACUCGGGUGAAGGAACUAGGCAAAAUGGUGCCGUAACUUCGGGAGAAGGCACGCUGAUAUGUAGGUGAAGUCCCUUGCGGAUGGAGCUGAAAUCAGUCGAAGAUACCAGCUGGCUGCAACUGUUUAUUAAAAACACAGCACUGUGCAAACACGAAAGUGGACGUAUACGGUGUGACGCCUGCCCGGUGCCGGAAGGUUAAUUGAUGGGGUCAGCGCAAGCGAAGCUCUUGAUCGAAGCCCCGGUAAACGGCGGCCGUAACUAUAACGGUCCUAAGGUAGCGAAAUUCCUUGUCGGGUAAGUUCCGACCUGCACGAAUGGCGUAAUGAUGGCCAGGCUGUCUCCACCCGAGACUCAGUGAAAUUGAACUCGCUGUGAAGAUGCAGUGUACCCGCGGCAAGACGGAAAGACCCCGUGAACCUUUACUAUAGCUUGACACUGAACAUUGAGCCUUGAUGUGUAGGAUAGGUGGGAGGCUUUGAAGUGUGGACGCCAGUCUGCAUGGAGCCGACCUUGAAAUACCACCCUUUAAUGUUUGAUGUUCUAACGUUGACCCGUAAUCCGGGUUGCGGACAGUGUCUGGUGGGUAGUUUGACUGGGGCGGUCUCCUCCUAAAGAGUAACGGAGGAGCACGAAGGUUGGCUAAUCCUGGUCGGACAUCAGGAGGUUAGUGCAAUGGCAUAAGCCAGCUUGACUGCGAGCGUGACGGCGCGAGCAGGUGCGAAAGCAGGUCAUAGUGAUCCGGUGGUUCUGAAUGGAAGGGCCAUCGCUCAACGGAUAAAAGGUACUCCGGGGAUAACAGGCUGAUACCGCCCAAGAGUUCAUAUCGACGGCGGUGUUUGGCACCUCGAUGUCGGCUCAUCACAUCCUGGGGCUGAAGUAGGUCCCAAGGGUAUGGCUGUUCGCCAUUUAAAGUGGUACGCGAGCUGGGUUUAGAACGUCGUGAGACAGUUCGGUCCCUAUCUGCCGUGGGCGCUGGAGAACUGAGGGGGGCUGCUCCUAGUACGAGAGGACCGGAGUGGACGCAUCACUGGUGUUCGGGUUGUCAUGCCAAUGGCACUGCCCGGUAGCUAAAUGCGGAAGAGAUAAGUGCUGAAAGCAUCUAAGCACGAAACUUGCCCCGAGAUGAGUUCUCCCUGACUCCUUGAGAGUCCUGAAGGAACGUUGAAGACGACGACGUUGAUAGGCCGGGUGUGUAAGCGCAGCGAUGCGUUGAGCUAACCGGUACUAAUGAACCGUGAGGCUUAACCUUACAACGCCGAAG
RNAcentral lists this ribosomal RNA (2925 nucleotides) under Escherichia coli. Its description in RNAcentral is "23S ribosomal RNA". It matches the Rfam family "Bacterial large subunit ribosomal RNA". The record is from RNAcentral. Lineage: Bacteria; Pseudomonadati; Pseudomonadota; Gammaproteobacteria; Enterobacterales; Enterobacteriaceae.